AAGAUAUUAGUAAACACAUUACAUAACUUUGUCAAGGUUAAAUCACAGACUCAACCCUGUAUAUCUUA
RNAcentral lists this transfer RNA (68 nucleotides) under Acomys cahirinus (Egyptian spiny mouse). RNAcentral describes it as "tRNA-Asp". RNAcentral also lists the same sequence under 1 other name. The record is from RNAcentral. Lineage: Eukaryota; Metazoa; Chordata; Mammalia; Rodentia; Muridae.